RNAcentral lists this ribosomal RNA (704 nucleotides) under uncultured bacterium. Its description in RNAcentral is "bacterial SSU rRNA". It matches the Rfam family "Bacterial small subunit ribosomal RNA", at positions 53 to 765 of the family's 1533-position model. The record is from RNAcentral.
ACGGAGCGCCGGACACGGACUAUUUCGGUAGGAAGCGUGCGGAGGCUUAGUGGCGGACGGGUGAGUAACGCGUGGAUAACCUGCCGCAUACCAGGGGGAUAACAGCUGGAAACAGCUGCUAAUACCGCAUAUGCCCGCAGUGCCGCAUGGCACAGCGGGGAAAACUCCGGUGGUAUGCGAUGGGUCCGCGUCUGAUUAGGCAGUUGGCGGGGUAACGGCCCACCAAACCGACGAUCAGUAGCCGGCCUGAGAGGGCGGACGGCCACACUGGGACUGAGACACGGCCCAGACUCCUGCGGGAGGCAGCAGUGGGGAAUAUUGCACAAUGGGGGAAACCCUGAUGCAGCGACGCCGCGUGAAGGAAGAAGUAUCUCGGUAUGUAAACUUCUAUCAGCAGGGAAGAAAACAGACGGUACCUGACUAAGAAGCCCCGGCUAACUACGUGCCAGCAGCCGCGGUAAUACGUAGGGGGCAAGCGUUAUCCGGAUUUACUGGGUGUAAAGGGGGCGCAGACGGCCAUGGCAAGCCCGGUGUGAAAGGCAGGGGCAUAACCCCUGGACUGCACUGGGAACUGUCAGGCUGGAGUGCCGGAGGGGUAAGCGGAAUUCCUGGUGUAGCGGUGAAAUGCGUAGAUAUCAGGAGGAACACCGGCGGCGAAGGCGGCUUACUGGACGGCAACUGACGUUGAGGCCCGAAAGCGUGGG